Triticum aestivum (bread wheat) is the source of this 1527-nucleotide long non-coding RNA. RefSeq lists it as uncharacterized. NCBI's taxonomy places the organism in Eukaryota, Viridiplantae, Streptophyta, Magnoliopsida, Poales, Poaceae. The transcript has 8 exons. The record is from RefSeq and is a predicted model, not a curated record.
GCGCAACGAAACCGACCCCAAAUCGAAUCCACCGCCGCGGCGCCGCUCCCCCCUUCGGCCGCCCGCCCUAGCAACUCCUCCGGCGGCUGGCGAGCGAGCAGAGAUGAACGCCGCUGCUCCCGCCGUCCCGCCUCCCCUCUCAGCCUCCUACUCCACCUCAAUCUGCCGGCGAGGAAUUUCGGAUUCCAGCAACAAGGGGCGCGUCGGUGAUCUUCGGCGCGUGGCUGCGACAGAGCUCGACGCGCCCAGGCGGUUGAUCUGGCCGGGUGUCCAAGGCCGAUGGCGGCUUCAAAGGAUCGACAACGCUGCCACGGGUAGAGAUCGACGGCAGUAGGCCUGAUCUGUCGCCCCUCCAGUGGAUUCGUCGCUCCUCUUCCACGGCCACCAAUGGCGCAAGCCCCUUUCCUCGUCCAACGCUCGCUCAGGGUGCUCUGUUCCUCAGCCGGUGAGCCCCCGUCUCUUCGACGGCAGCGGCACAGGCCGCACCUUGAGCUUCACAUCUCUUCCACGACAAGCGGCACAAGCAACAUGUUUUCUAGGGUUUUGUUUCCCCGCCUCCUUUCUUCGCAGUGGCACAUCAACGGCAUUGCCAACAACUUGCCAGGUGCAUUCUUCCCUAUAAAUCUAUUUGUCUCACUGCCAACAUAUCUGCAUAAGCUGCAUCCAAAUUAAGCAGUACCAGUCCCAAAAUAAUUACUCUGGCCAGAGAAAGAAGCCAGUGUUCAGCGUGCUCUGUUCGAUCUAAUACAGUCUGGUAGAUUUUGAAAGAAAGGAAUUGCAGAUUUUAUUUGGACAAAGAGAUGAAGCCAGAAAGGCCAUGGCGACAACUCGUUCCACAUCCACAACUCUGGCCGCCAUGCCCAUAGUAUCUUCUACAUGCAGGUGGUCUGUGUUCACCUCUAGCCCUGUGUGUGUGCGCGCGUGUGCGUGUGCGGAACUAGGAUUCGAUUCGGUAUAACACCAUCACCGAUGCAGACGAUAAGGGGUUCAUCGCACCAGGCACCUUGGCGUUGCUUCCGUGAGAUGGUGGCCGCGGCUACAGAAACAGCUACGACCUGAGAGUCAGUGGUAGAAGCUGCAGACAACCAUCGCUGGCGAGGCACAAGAGGUUUCCACGGUCAGAUCUACAUUGAGGCGAGGCCAUGUCAAAGAAAACACCACUAGUUAUGUGUUUGCAGCCACCUCUGCUACAUUUUGUUGUAUCAUAUUUGAGGUUCAGUUUCAUGCUGGUUGCAAUUUCUUACGGAUUGUUGUAUUUUGUUGUAGGUAGUAAGAUCAUAAGAUACUAAUGGGCUCCCUGUAAUCCCAAAGUGCACUGGCCAGUGGAUAGAUAUUUUUUACAAAAUCUUCUAGAGGCGCUUAAUUUUCUAUAUCGAAAACGACUUCUGGUUCCAUCCAACCUGUAUGGGAAUGAUCAUUGAGUAGGCCAAAAAGUUAGAUAAUUUCCUGUGCUCAGAUUGUGCUAAAGAAAACGACGCAAAGAGACCUACAAAUUCAUACCAGAGUUCACCAAGUUCUCAUUCUAAG